UCCCCAGUGGCUCAGAAGGUAAAGCGUCUGCCUAUGAUGCGGGAGACCUGGGUUCAAUCCCUGGGUUGGGAA
Transfer RNA from Ovis aries (sheep), 72 nucleotides. It matches the Rfam family "tRNA". From Rfam's summary of the family: Transfer RNA (tRNA) molecules are approximately 80 nucleotides in length. Their secondary structure includes four short double-helical elements and three loops (D, anti-codon, and T loops). Lineage: Eukaryota; Metazoa; Chordata; Mammalia; Artiodactyla; Bovidae. The record is from Rfam.